CGUUACUGAGCCUGACCUAGCUAGGGUUGGAAAACAUCGAAUCCUUGAUUUACCAGAGAGGUAUACCUCAGUAAACAUACCCUCUUUAGGCUUCAUGAUCAUUGUUAGUUACCCUAUUUUUUUAGCAUGGUUCCAACUUAUCAUAAUUUACUCUCAUAUGUAUGGUUGAAGUUCUGUUUCUGUUUUAUGAAACCUUAGUCUCUGAGCACAGAAGCUUUCUUAGGAUUCGGAGAAGAAAAAUCUAAUGCUGAUGCCAACUGUGGUUAAUUGGACUGCCUAUAUAUCUGAUUCCCAAAAACAGUCCCAAUUGGGUCUAUUUUUUGUAGCGUACUGAUGCUUUUAAUAUGCUAAAAAGUAUCUUUCUUGGGGUACGUCUUGCUUGGGUCGAUCUUGAAUAGACCCAAUUAUUUUUAAUUUCUUUCUUGAUUUUCUGCUUCCAAAAUGUCACCUUUUAUCAGUAGGCUUAUAUAUAUAUUAUUUAAUUUUAAAAAGAAAAUUAGUCUUUUGUAUUUAUUUCGAAUAUUUUGAAUACAGGUUUUUGCAAAUAUAAAGGUUUAGUUCAAUUAAAGCCCAGGUUGUGAUGAAAUAAAUCUUAAUUUUCUAACUCAAUAACUCUGAGGGUUCGAGCUCAUUAUCAAACUUGAGCUCUAGAUGUCAUAUAAUUAAUGUCAGCUUUUAAAUCCUUGAAGUACUUUUAAUGCUCUGGUUGCUAGAGAACAUUUUCUGUUUCAGUGUUUACACCUCUGAUUUUUGUAGCUAGGUUUAUAUCACUAAUUUAAAAUUCAGAAUAUUCUAACUUUUUAAUGUGUUUAUUUAUCAGGUCACUGCUCCUAAUAUCUGCUUCAUAGGUGAAAAAGUGCUGACCAGUUGCACGAGGUUUUAGAUCCAUCCUUUUGGACUUCACUCUUCAACUUCCAGCCAUCAGGAAUUGGGCCUGCCUUCUGAGAAUGAAGAUUUCCUUGAAUGUACAGUGCUCUGAAAAAUCUCUCCCUUCUCAUCCAUAAAGAUCACCUGAUAAAGACUCUGAGACAGUGUAUCACGUAACCAAACCAGUCCUUUCUAUUCGUCUGAUUACCGAUUAGGUUUUAGGGUUCAAUAUGAAAUACAGAGAGAAAAUGGUGAAUUUUGUGAGGCGGCUGAAGGCCAAGAUGAAGAGGACAAUGAUGCUCAUAUUGAAGCGCUUGCCUUUCCAUUUUCCAGAACAUCGAAUCAAUGAUUUACCAGAGCCUAGGUAUGUAUUUGCUUAUCAUUCAAUUUUCAUUUAUCUACCAACUCUGUUGAAUUUAUAACAUUGUACUUUAAAGGUUUUAUGAUCCUUGUUUUACUCAAUGUUUUUAAUUAUUUAGCUUGCAAGUAAGAAUUUGGUUGUCAAAAUCUAUCCCAAAAUCCAUGAACAAUCAAAUCCUGCAAAAACAUGGUGGAAGCUUUCAAAAGAGAAAUGCCCUAGUCUUAAUUUCUUACCAUGCAGGUAUGAGUAUUGAUGCUCUCUCCACCUGGACUUAAGUCUUUUUUUUUAUCCACGAGUCUCAUUAGAUCUCUUGUUCUUGUUCUGUUUCUUUUUUCUAGGCUACAGACAUAAGCAAUCACCUUUGGGCUUUGGCAACUCCCUGCCAUUAAAAAGUUGAAUGAUACAUAUCCUUCAUAAUCAUCCAG
This 1653-nucleotide long non-coding RNA is filed under the name Prunus persica (peach). RNAcentral describes it as "long non-coding RNA (PPER_LNC000228)". The record is from RNAcentral. Lineage: Eukaryota; Viridiplantae; Streptophyta; Magnoliopsida; Rosales; Rosaceae.